AGUGAACGCUGGCGGUAGGCCUAACACAUGCCAGUCGAACGGCAGCACAGUAAGAGCUUGCUCUUACGGGUGGCGAGUGGCGGACGGGUGAGGAAUACAUCGGAAUCUACUUUUUCGUGGGGGAUAACGUAGGGAAACUUACGCUAAUACCGCAUACGACCUACGGGUGAAAGCAGGGGAUCUUCGGACCUUGCGCGAUUGAAUGAGCCGAUGUCGGAUUAGCUAGUUGGCGGGGUAAAGGCCCACCAAGGCGACGAUCCGUAGCUGGUCUGAGAGGAUGAUCAGCCACACUGAAACUGAGACACGGUCCAGACUCCUACGGGAGGCAGCAGUGGGGAAUAUUGGACAAUGGGCGCAAGCCUGAUCCAGCCAUACCGCGUGGGUGAAGAAGGCCUUCGGGUUGUAAAGCCCUUUUGUUGGGAAAGAAAAGCAGCAGGUUAAUACCCCGCUGUUCUGACGGUACCCAAAGAAUAAGCACCGGCUAACUUCGUG
This 492-nucleotide ribosomal RNA is filed under the name uncultured bacterium. RNAcentral describes it as "partial 16S ribosomal RNA". It matches the Rfam family "Bacterial small subunit ribosomal RNA", at positions 29 to 507 of the family's 1533-position model. The record is from RNAcentral.